AUUGAACGCUGGCGGCAUGCCUUACACAUGCAAGUCGAACGGCAGCACGGGUGCUUGCACCUGGUGGCGAGUGGCGAACGGGUGAGUAAUACAUCGGAACGUACCUUAUCGUGGGGGAUAACGCAGCGAAAGCUGUGCUAAUACCGCAUACGCCCUGAGGGGGAAAGCGGGGGAUCGCAAGACCUCGCGCGAUUAGAGCGGCCGAUGCCUGAUUAGCUUGUUGGUGGGGUAAAAGCCCACCAAGGCGACGAUCAGUAGCUGGUCUGAGAGGACGAUCAGCCACACUGGGACUGAGACACGGCCCAGACUCCUACGGGAGGCAGCAGUGGGGAAUUUUGGACAAUGGGGGCAACCCUGAUCCAGCAAUGCCGCGUGAGUGAAGAAGGCCUUCGGGUUGUAAAGCUCUUUUGUCAGGGAAGAAACACCGGCUCUAACACAGUCCGGGAAUGACGGUACCUGAAGAAUAAGCACCGGCUAACUACGUGCCAGCCGCCGCGGUAA
RNAcentral lists this ribosomal RNA (501 nucleotides) under uncultured bacterium. RNAcentral describes it as "partial 16S ribosomal RNA". It matches the Rfam family "Bacterial small subunit ribosomal RNA", at positions 29 to 523 of the family's 1533-position model. The record is from RNAcentral.